Molecule: unclassified non-coding RNA, 316 nt
Filed under: Hevea brasiliensis (rubber tree)
Lineage: Eukaryota; Viridiplantae; Streptophyta; Magnoliopsida; Malpighiales; Euphorbiaceae
Source: RNAcentral
UGGACAUUCAUGAGUAUUAUUUCUCACAAAGUCAUUUGCAAGAAUUAAUACAAGAUUAAUAUAAUUAAAUAUGAUAGUAUGAACUUUAAAUAAUAAAAAGCAGCAACACUCUCUUAGUUAUAACAUGUGUUUUAUUUAAUUAUAUAUUAGGCGAACCCUAAAAAGAGACACAUGUAUAUAAUAAGCAGAAAGCAUUAAGUUACACAUUAAUAUGGAUCAUAUCCAUCGAUGCAAAUAUGAAUCACCAUGAAUUAAGAAAUUAAUUCAUGGAUUCUUCUCAUUUUCUCCUCACUUUGUUGCUGGCUUGCUUCCUGUU